UCUGAAUCUGCGUACGGCUCCGCAUACCAGUUGUAAACCAUAGCAAGCCAACCUUGGGAAGACCCGAUCAAAAGGGAUGACCCUUGGUUGAAUAAGGAUACCCAUGGUAAUUCUGAGGCUAAUACAAGUACAUACCGACUUGGUCAACCGGGAAACUGGAAGGCUGGGGGUCGUGUGAAGCUUAACUGCAACACCGACCUAGGAAACGAUGCACAAUCAGACCACCACACAAACGGUCUCGUUCUGAGGCAAGUACCUUCGGGGAAAGCCAAUGGGCUUGACUGGGUGGCUCUUGCUUUGUGCUUCUGACCUAUCAACUCGAUGGCAGCGUAAGGGACAUGCUAUGGU
This 348-nucleotide ribosomal RNA is filed under the name Physarum sp. Its description in RNAcentral is "bacterial SSU rRNA". It matches the Rfam family "Eukaryotic small subunit ribosomal RNA", at positions 80 to 350 of the family's 1831-position model. The record is from RNAcentral. Lineage: Eukaryota; Evosea; Eumycetozoa; Physariida; Physaraceae.